GACGAACGCUGGCGGCGUGCUUAACACAUGCAAGUCGAACGGAAAGGCCCUGCUUGCAGGGUACUCGAGUGGCGAACGGGUGAGUAACACGUGGGUGAUCUGCCCUGCACUUCGGGAUAAGCCUGGGAAACUGGGUCUAAUACCGGAUAGGAGCCAUUUUUAGUGUGAUGGUUGGAAAGUUUUUUCGGUGUAGGAUGCGCUCGCGGCCUAUCAGCUUGUUGGUGGGGUAAUGGCCUACCAAGGCGGCGACGGGUAGCCGGCCUGAGAGGGUGGACGGCCACAUUGGGACUGAGAUACGGCCCAGACUCCUACGGGAGGCAGCAGUGGGGAAUAUUGCACAAUGGGCGCAAGCCUGAUGCAGCGACGCCGCGUGGGGGAUGACGGCCUUCGGGUUGUAAACUCCUUUCGCUAGAGACGAAGCUUUUUGUGACGGUACCUAGAUAAGAAGCACCGGCUAACUACGUG
RNAcentral lists this ribosomal RNA (465 nucleotides) under uncultured bacterium. RNAcentral describes it as "partial 16S ribosomal RNA". It matches the Rfam family "Bacterial small subunit ribosomal RNA", at positions 28 to 507 of the family's 1533-position model. The record is from RNAcentral.